GGAAUAUUGCACAAUGGGGGAAACCCUGAUGCAGCGACGCCGCGUGAGUGAAGAAGUAUUUCGGUACGUAAAGCUCUAUCAGCAGGGAAGAAAAAAAGUCCUUUGGACUUUGGACGGUACCUGACCAAGAAGCCCCGGCUAACUACGUGCCAGCAGCCGCGGUAAUACGUAGGGGGCAAGCGUUAUCCGGAUUUACUGGGUGUAAAGGGAGCGUAGACGGCUAAUCAAGUCAGAAGUGAAAACCCAGGGCUCAACCUUGGGACUGCUUUUGAAACUGAGUAGCUAGAGUGCAGGAGAGGUAAGCGGAAUUCCUAGUGUAGCGGUGAAAUGCGUAGAUAUUAGGAGGAACACCAGUGGCGAAGGCGGCUUACUGGACUGUAACUGACGUUGAGGCUCGAAAGCGUGGGGAGCAA
Molecule: ribosomal RNA, 413 nt
Filed under: uncultured bacterium
Lineage: Bacteria
Description: bacterial SSU rRNA
Rfam family: Bacterial small subunit ribosomal RNA
Source: RNAcentral